UGCAAUCGAUCAAUUAUGAGACCAGCCCAAAUGCUCAUUCGCAAAGCAUCAGUGUAAUGCUUUGCCAUUUGCAUUGUUCGAAGGCCAAUGUUCACGGGAUUGCUGUUGGGAAUCCUGAGGUUGUUCCGGCUGUUCAUGAGCCAGUGCAGGAUUCAUGCACUUGCUGGGGUAAUUCAUGAGCCAGUGCAGGAUUCAUGCACUUGCUGGGGUAAGUCUAUUUUCUGGUUAAGAAUUGCGCCCAGUAUGUAAUGUAACCAUUUUUCAAAAUAACAUAUAAACGCUGAUAGCUGUUGCUGUUGGGAAUCCUGAGGUUGUUCCGGCUGUUCAUCAACCAAUUGCAGUGGAUAUGCACCAGUUGAUAUGGAUGGAUCUGGAAAAAUUCCUCUUCCUCCUCUGAAGGAGAGACCCAGAAGGAGGUGGGUUCUGCCAAGGUAACUGUUGCUAUGACCAGAUUCCGGAACGAACUUCCAGAUCCAAGUGCACAACCCAAGCUCAUGUCCAUGAAGAAAGACAAAGAUCAGUAAGUAAUCACUACACCAAUUUUGUUAUCAGACAACGGCAGAAAACCGUUGUGUGAUUUGAAGACCCACCGUUGUAGAGUGAGCCGUUGUCUGAUGAAAAAUUAGACAACGG
Molecule: RNA transcript, 633 nt
Organism: Rosa chinensis
Lineage: Eukaryota; Viridiplantae; Streptophyta; Magnoliopsida; Rosales; Rosaceae
Exons: 3
Source: RefSeq, a predicted model, not a curated record